UCACUUAUGUGACGUACUGAAGGAUUCACGCUGUAAACUGGAGAGAUUGAGUCUUCGUGUCUGUGGCAUUACAGAUGUUUCUUCUUUAACUCAGUCUUUGACAAACACAAAAGCUCUGCAGUUUCUAAAAGAGAUUGAUCUGAGACACAAUGUGAUUGGAGACUCAAAGCAGAAGCUCAUUGAUGUGCUACGAGACUCAAACUGUAAACUGAUAAGCUGAUGAAUGCUGUGUAUCAUAAAGUGAAGUGGUCUUGAGAGGAGCAGUAAACAUCAGCUGAAGAUCCACAGAAGAGCUUCACUACUGUGUCUAUGAGGAGAAAUAAAUGUGUGAUAAAUGUGUAAAUGUGAUCCAUACAGGUGAAGAGACUCAGACUUUACAAUCAAAUAAUGCAGCAUGUGUGUUAGAAACAUGAUAUUGAAUGAUUAAUGUUGCUUUAGUAUUCAAGC
Molecule: long non-coding RNA, 447 nt
Organism: Carassius auratus (goldfish)
Lineage: Eukaryota; Metazoa; Chordata; Actinopteri; Cypriniformes; Cyprinidae
Exons: 3
Source: RefSeq, a predicted model, not a curated record